RNAcentral lists this ribosomal RNA (514 nucleotides) under uncultured bacterium. RNAcentral's name for it is "partial 16S ribosomal RNA". It matches the Rfam family "Bacterial small subunit ribosomal RNA", at positions 28 to 523 of the family's 1533-position model. The record is from RNAcentral.
GAUGAACGCUGGCGGCGUGCCUAAUAUAUGCAAGUCGAGCGAACUGAUUAGAAGCUUGCUUCUAUGACGUUAGCGGCGGACGGGUGAGUAACACGUGGGCAACCUGCCUGUAAGACUGGGAUAACUUCGGGAAACCGAAGCUAAUACCGGAUAGGAUCUUCUCCUUCAUGGGAGAUGAUUGAAAGAUGGUUUCGGCUAUCACUUACAGAUGGGCCCGCGGUGCAUUAGCUAGUUGGUGAGGUAACGGCUCACCAAGGCAACGACGCAUAGCCGACCUGAGAGGGUGAUCGGCCACACUGGGACCGAGACACGGCGCAGACUCCUACGGGAGGCAGCAGUAGGGAAUCUUCCGCAAUGGACGAAAGUCUGACGGAGCAACGCCGCGUGAGGGAUGAAGGCUUUCGGGUCGUAAAACUCUGUUGUUAGGGAAGAACAAGUACGAGAGUAACUGCUCGUACCUUGACGGUACCUAACCAGAAAGCCACGGCUAACUACGUGCCAGCCGCCGCCGUAA